This 922-nucleotide long non-coding RNA is filed under the name Ursus maritimus (polar bear). RNAcentral describes it as "lncRNA (ENSUMAG00000004509.1)". The record is from RNAcentral. Lineage: Eukaryota; Metazoa; Chordata; Mammalia; Carnivora; Ursidae.
GAAAUUGUAACUUAGGACGAGAGGGCUCAUGGGAGCACAGAGGAAGGCCAGCCCACCCGGAGACCAGCGAUGGCCUCCCUGAGGACCGGCCUUGCAAAAGAGGAGGUGGAGCCCAGAGUGGGGGCCAGUGUAGUUAAGAAGGCAUUCCAGCUGGAGCCACUAACCCCACCCAGCAGGCAUGGAGAGAGGAGCUGGGAGGACUGCGGGGAGUGGGGACGUGUGCACGCCCACCCCCAAUCCCGGACUGCUUCCCCAUCUCUGUGUGGUAAAUAUGGGGCAGCUGGGGUGGAAGCGAUGUCAGGAGGUGGCAGGCAAGCGCAAAUGCCAAGAUGAGGAAACUGAGCUCGGGAGCUCGGGGGCAUUGCACAGUUCCUGCAAGGCCUCCGAUCCUUCUCAGUGGGCAGGAACUGAAGGCCGGAGCUGGCGUCCCAGGAGGCCGUGAUCUGCAACUCUCAGAGCAGAGAGCAGAAGGGACCCGGUGCCUGCCGUGGCAUUCUUGAUCGGAGGACAAACACAGAGGGUGAGCGCCACCCCUGCCGGCACCGGUGCCCGAGAGUUAGAUGCGAAAGAGGGGGAACCCAGUGCAAGAACUCCAGCACCUUUCUCUGAUGGAUCCGGAGCUUCUGAGCUGAGAAGGCCGCUCGGCCCAGGCACUUGGCAUAGCUGGUUCCUCGGUUUCAUUUUUAACCAUCUUUCCCAUCAGGAAACUGCCUGGCUGGCUCAGCUGGUUGAGCAUCCGACUCUUGGUUUUGGUUCAGGUCGUGAUCUCAGGGUCGUAAGACUGAGUCCUGAGUUAGGCUCAGCGCUCAGCGUGGAGUCUGCUUGAAAUUCUCUCUCCCUCUCCCUCUGCCCCUCCCCACUGUGCACACGUGUUCUCUCUCUCUCAAAUAAAUAAAUAAAUCUUUAAAAACUCUUUUCCGUU